AAAACAAGAAAGAGAGAAAAAAUGAGGCAACUUUGAUGAGGCGCGCUCCCGACAGCUUCAUCCCAAACGCGCGUCCCCUGUGGUGGGAAAGUGAGCCGAAAGACAGCAGAACUGCAGAGUGGCACGGCGCGCCUGUCCGCGAGGGUCUCCGAGGGUCUCCGCGUGGUCAUGAGCGCAGAGCAGGGGGCCUAACGAUCCGGCGCAUCGCUGCGGGAGCUGCCCGUCGUUCCACCGGGAAGAAUGAAGUAAGCAUCCAUAAAGAGUGACCUGCUCCCACAGAGAGAAAACGAGGUAGGACAAAUAUAUCGCAUGACUGAUCGCAUUCCUCACCGUCCUCACCAUUCAUAUCCAU
RNAcentral lists this long non-coding RNA (352 nucleotides) under Scleropages formosus (Asian bonytongue). RNAcentral describes it as "lncRNA (ENSSFOG00015031726.1)". The record is from RNAcentral. Lineage: Eukaryota; Metazoa; Chordata; Actinopteri; Osteoglossiformes; Osteoglossidae.